Molecule: ribosomal RNA, 199 nt
Filed under: uncultured bacterium
Lineage: Bacteria
Description: partial 16S ribosomal RNA
Rfam family: Bacterial small subunit ribosomal RNA
Source: RNAcentral
AUUGAACGCUGGCGGCAUGCCUUACACAUGCAAGUCGAACGGCAGCACGGGAGCAAUCCUGGUGGCGAGUGGCGAACGGGUGAGUAAUACAUCGGAACGUGUCCUGGAGUGGGGGAUAGCCCGGCGAAAGCCGGAUUAAUACCGCAUACGCUCUAUGGAGGAAAGCGGGGGAUCGCAAGACCUCGCGCUCAAGGGGCGC